UGGGCUCGUAGAUCAGGGGUAGAUCGUCACGUUUGCAACGUGAAGGCCACGGGUUCGAAUCCCGUCGAGUCCAUC
RNAcentral lists this transfer RNA (75 nucleotides) under Methanoregulaceae archaeon PtaB.Bin056. RNAcentral's name for it is "tRNA-Ala". It matches the Rfam family "tRNA". Rfam says of the family: Transfer RNA (tRNA) molecules are approximately 80 nucleotides in length. Their secondary structure includes four short double-helical elements and three loops (D, anti-codon, and T loops). Further hydrogen bonds mediate the characteristic L-shaped molecular structure. tRNAs have two regions of fundamental functional importance: the anti-codon, which is responsible for specific mRNA codon recognition, and the 3' end, to which the tRNAs corresponding amino acid is attached (by aminoacyl-tRNA synthetases). tRNAs cope with the degeneracy of the genetic code in two manners: having more than one tRNA (with a specific anti-codon) for a particular amino acid; and 'wobble' base-pairing, i.e. permitting non-standard base-pairing at the 3rd anti-codon position. Lineage: Archaea; Methanobacteriati; Methanobacteriota; Methanomicrobia; Methanomicrobiales; Methanoregulaceae. The record is from RNAcentral.